UUCGUUAACGAACGAGACCUCGACCUGCUAAAUAGUUCGGCGAAGGCGUCAGCCUUCGUACGUGACUUCUUAGAGGGACAUUCGGUGCUUUAGCCGAAGGAAGUUCGAGGCAAUAACAGGUCUGUGAUGCCCUUAGAUGUUCUGGGCUGCACGCGCGCUACACUGAUGGUUGCAUCGAGCUUACAACCUUGAUCGGAAGAUCUGGGUAAUCUUUUUAACGACCAUCGUGCUGGGGAUCGAUAAUUGUAAUUAUUUAUCGUCAACGAGGAAUUCCUAGUAAACGCCAGUCAUCAACUGGCAUUGAUUACGUCCCUGCCCUUUGUACACACCGCCCGUCGCUAAUACCGAUUGAAUGGGUA
Molecule: ribosomal RNA, 359 nt
Filed under: Eukaryota sp.
Lineage: Eukaryota
Description: SSU rRNA
Rfam family: Eukaryotic small subunit ribosomal RNA
Source: RNAcentral